This 253-nucleotide ribosomal RNA is filed under the name uncultured bacterium. RNAcentral describes it as "partial 16S ribosomal RNA". It matches the Rfam family "Bacterial small subunit ribosomal RNA", at positions 524 to 776 of the family's 1533-position model. The record is from RNAcentral.
UACGAAGGGUGCUAGCGUUGUUCGGAAUCACUGGGCGUAAAGCGCGCGUAGGCGGCUUGUCAAGUCAGGGGUGAAAUCCCACAGCUCAACUGUGGAACUGCCUUUGAAACUAGCAAGCUUGAGUGUCGGAGGGGAUAGCGGAAUUGCUAAUGUAGAGGUGAAAUUCGUAGAUAUUAGCAGGAACACCGGUGGCGAAGGCGGCUAUCUGGACGACAACUGACGCUGAGGCGCGAAAGCGUGGGGAGCAAACAGG